AAUCAACGCUGGCGGCGUGCCUCAGACAUGCAAGUCGAACGCGAAAUUUCCCUUCGGGGAGAAAGUAGAGUGGCGCACGGGUGAGUAACACGUGGGUAAUUUACCUUCGGGUGGGGAAGUAACGUCUCGAAAGAGACGCUAAUACCGCAUGAUGCAGCGGCACCACAUGGUGACAGUUGUUAAAGCGGGGGAGUCGCAAGACCUCGCGCCUGAAGAGAAGCCCGCCGGCAGA
Molecule: ribosomal RNA, 232 nt
Filed under: uncultured bacterium
Lineage: Bacteria
Description: partial 16S ribosomal RNA
Rfam family: Bacterial small subunit ribosomal RNA
Source: RNAcentral